Molecule: ribosomal RNA, 205 nt
Filed under: uncultured bacterium
Lineage: Bacteria
Description: partial 16S ribosomal RNA
Rfam family: Bacterial small subunit ribosomal RNA
Source: RNAcentral
AGCGCAGACGGUUAUUUAAGCAAGAUGUGAAAGCCCCGGGCUCAACCUGGGAACUGCGUUUUGAACUGGGUAACUAGAGUGUGUCAGAGGGGGGUAGAAUUCCACGUGUAGCAGUGAAAUGCGUAGAGAUGUGGAGGAAUACCGAUGGCGAAGGCAGCCCCCUGGGAUAACACUGACGUUCAUGCUCGAAGCGUGGGUAGCAAAC